AUGGUAAGAAUGCUUCGAGGGCUCGUGAUCCUCGCCGCCGCCGUCGUCGCCCUGCAGUGCUGUGAGCUCCCACGCAGGGCGGAUGGCAGGUGCGUCCUGUUCAACUUCGGCGACUCCAACUCCGACACGGGCUCCCUCCCUGCCGCCUACGGCUUCUACCUCGGCCCGCCCGCCGGCCGCCGCUUCUUCAACCGGACCACCGGCCGCUGGUCGGACGGCCGCCUCUACAUCGACUUCAUUGCCGAGAGCCUGGGGAUCAGGUACCUGAGCCCGUACCUGGAGUCGUCGGGUUCCAACUUCGCCGACGGAGUGAACUUCGCGGUGGCCGGGGCGGCGGCGGCGAGCAACCAGAGCGCCAUCCCGUUCACCAUGGCCACGCAGGUGAACCAGUUUUUGCAUUUCAAGAACCGGACCCGGGAGCUCCGGCCGCUGGGGCAGGGCUCGAUGCUCCCGGAGGAGGACUUCCGGGGAGCCGUGUACUCGAUCGACGUCGGGCAGAACGACAUCACGCUCGCCUUCCUUGCGAACCUCACGCUGCCGGAGAUCGUCGCGGACGGCGGCCCGCUCGCCGCGGUCGCCGCCAAGGUCGAGGAGGCCGUCCGGGCGCUGUACGGCAGCGGCGCGCGCAAGUUCUGGGUGUACAACACGGGGCCCAUCGGGUGCCUGCCGCAGACGCUGGCGCUGCGGCAGAGGCCCGGCGACGAGCUCGACCCCGCCGGCUGCCUCGCCCGCUACAACGCCGCCGCCCGGGCGCUCAACGCCGGCCUCGCCGCGGCGUGCCGCCGGCUCGCGGACGAGUACUGCGGGAGCGCGACCGUGGUGUGCACCGACAUGUACGCCGUCAAGUACGACCUGUUCGCCAACCACGACCAGUACGGCAUCGAGCGGCCGCUGAUGGCGUGCUGCGGCCACGGCGGGCCGCCGUACAACUACGUGAACCUCAAGACGUGUGGGCAGCCGACGGCGACGGCGUGCCCGGAGGGGGAGAGGCACGUGAGCUGGGACGGCGUGCACUACACCGAGGACGCCAACGCUAUCGUCGCCUCCAAGAUACUCUCCGGCGACUUCUCCCAGCCGCGCACCAAGCUACAGGCACUGUGCAAAUAA
Molecule: ribosomal RNA, 1107 nt
Filed under: Triticum aestivum (bread wheat)
Lineage: Eukaryota; Viridiplantae; Streptophyta; Magnoliopsida; Poales; Poaceae
Description: partial small subunit ribosomal RNA
Source: RNAcentral